ACAAUUCAAAUCCCUUAACAAGGAACAAUUGGAGGGCAAGUCUGGUGCCAGCAGCCGCGGUAAUUCCAGCUCCAAUAGCGUAUAUUAAAUUUGCUGCAGUUAAAAAGCUCGUAGUUGGAUGUGUGGUGUGGUGCGUCUGGUCGCCUGCGAGCAAUCGUGGGUGUGUACCGGUGUGCGUGCCUGCCAUUCGGGUUUGUUGUACAUCGAAAGGUGUAUGGUAAGCCCCGUUUACUUUGAGUAAAUUAGAGUGUUCCAAGCAGGCGAUGGUGCCGUGAAUACAUGAGCAUGGAAUAAUGAGAUAGGACUCGGGGUUCUGUUUUGUUGGUUUCCGGUGAUCUGAGUAAUGAUUGAUAGGGACAGUUGGGGGUGCUAGUAUUCAACGGCCAGAGGUGAAAUUCUUGGAUUCGUUGAAGACUAACUUGUGCGAAAGCAUUCACCAAGGAUGUCUUCUUUAAUCAAGAACGAAAGUUGGGGGAUCGAAGACGAUCAGAUACCGUCGUAGUCUCAACUAUAAACGAUACG
Molecule: ribosomal RNA, 522 nt
Filed under: uncultured eukaryote
Lineage: Eukaryota
Description: bacterial SSU rRNA
Rfam family: Eukaryotic small subunit ribosomal RNA
Source: RNAcentral